This 402-nucleotide long non-coding RNA is filed under the name Numida meleagris (helmeted guineafowl). RNAcentral's name for it is "lncRNA (ENSNMEG00000003047.1)". The record is from RNAcentral. Lineage: Eukaryota; Metazoa; Chordata; Aves; Galliformes; Numididae.
UGGGAGGACAACAACAGCUGGAUGCGGGAGGACAACAACAGCUGGAUGCGGGAGGACAACAGCUGGAUGCGGGAGGACAACAACAGCUGGAUGCGGGAGGACAACAACAGCUGGACGCAGGCCAUGGGCAGGCAACAGUCGGAUGCAGGCGGGCAACAGUCAGACAUGGGCACACAACAGUCGGACAUGGGCUGACAACAGUUGGAUGCAGGCAGGCAACAGUCAGAGGCUGGCAACAGUCGGACGUGGGCAGGCAACAGUUGGAUGUGGGCUGGCAACAGUCGGAUGCGGGCAGGCAACAGUCAGACAUGGGCACACAACAGUCGGACAUGGGCUGGCAACAGUUGGACAGGGGCAGGCAACAGUCAGAGGCUGACAACAGUCGGACAUGGGCUGGCAACA